AUGGGAAUGAUAAUGGAGAUAACCUUGGGAAUGACAAUGGGAAUGAAAACAGUGGGAAGGAAUGACAAUGGCAAUGAUAAUGGGAAUAUUAAUGGGAAUAAUGGGAAUAAUAAUGGGAAUGAUAAUGGGAAUAAUGGGAAUGAUAAUGGGAAAGUUAAUGGGAAUAACAAUGGGAAUGACAAUGGGAAUAGGAAUGAUAAUGGGAAUGUUAAUGGGAAUGACAAUGGCAAUAAUGGGAAUGAUAAUGGGAAUGGUAAUGGGAAUAACACUGGGAAUAAUGGGAAUGACAAUGGGAAUAAUGGGAAUGAUAAUGGGAAUGAUAAUGGGAAUAAUGGGAAUGAUAAUGGGAAUGUUAAUGGGAAUAGCAAUGGGAAUAAUAGGAAUGAUAAUGGGAAUAAUGGGAAUGACAAUGGCAAUAAUGGGAAUGACAAUGGCAGGAAUAAUGGGAAUAAUGGGAAUGAUAAUGGGAAUAACAAUGGGAAUAGGAAUGAUAAUGGAAUGUUAAUGGGAAUAAUAAUGGGAAUAAUGGGAAUGAUAAUGGGAAUAACAAUGGGAAUAAUGAGAAUGAUAAUGGGAAUGUUAAUGGGAAUGACAAUGGGAAUAACAAUGGCAGGAAUAAUGGGAAUAAUGGGAAUGACAAUGGGAAAAACAAUGGGAAUAACAAUGGCAGGAAUAAUGGGAAUGAUAAUGGGGAUAGCAAUAGGAAUAAUGGGAAUGAUAAUGGGAAUGGAAAUAACAAUGGGAAUAAUGGGAAUUAAUGGGAAUGGGAAUAAUAAUGGGAAUAGCAAUGGGAAUGAUGGGAAUGAUAAUGGGAAUGUUAAUGGGAAUGUUAAUGGGAAUGACAAUGGGAAUGACAAUGGGAAUGACAAUGGCAAUAAUGGGAAUGACAAUGGGAAUAACAAUGGCAGGAAUAAUGGGAAUAAUGGGAAUGAUAAUGGGAAUAACGAUGGGAAUAAUGGGAGUGAUAAUGGGAAUGUUAAUGGGAAUGUUAAUGGGAAUGACAAUGGCAGGAAUAAUGGGAAUGAUAAUGGGGAUAGCAAUAGGAAUAAUGGGAAUGAUAAUGGGAAUGGGAAUAACAAUGGGAAUAAUGGGAAUUAA
RNAcentral lists this long non-coding RNA (1098 nucleotides) under Zonotrichia albicollis (white-throated sparrow). RNAcentral describes it as "lncRNA (ENSZALG00000005343.1)". The record is from RNAcentral. Lineage: Eukaryota; Metazoa; Chordata; Aves; Passeriformes; Passerellidae.